This 2539-nucleotide ribosomal RNA is filed under the name Klebsiella pneumoniae. Its description in RNAcentral is "bacterial LSU rRNA". It matches the Rfam family "Bacterial large subunit ribosomal RNA", at positions 399 to 2925 of the family's 2925-position model. Lineage: Bacteria; Pseudomonadati; Pseudomonadota; Gammaproteobacteria; Enterobacterales; Enterobacteriaceae. The record is from RNAcentral.
GUGAACUCGAAGAGUAGGGCGGGACACGUGGUAUCCUGUCUGAAUAUGGGGGGACCAUCCUCCAAGGCUAAAUACUCCUGACUGACCGAUAGUGAACCAGUACCGUGAGGGAAAGGCGAAAAGAACCCCGGCGAGGGGAGUGAAAAAGAACCUGAAACCGUGUACGUACAAGCAGUGGGAGCACCUUCGGGUGUGACUGCGUACCUUUUGUAUAAUGGGUCAGCGACUUAUAUUCUGUAGCAAGGUUAACCGUAUAGGGGAGCCGCAGGGAAACCGAGUCUUAACUGGGCGUUAAGUUGCAGGGUAUAGACCCGAAACCCGGUGAUCUAGCCAUGGGCAGGUUGAAGGUUGGGUAACACUAACUGGAGGACCGAACCGACUAAUGUUGAAAAAUUAGCGGAUGACUUGUGGCUGGGGGUGAAAGGCCAAUCAAACCGGGAGAUAGCUGGUUCUCCCCGAAAGCUAUUUAGGUAGCGCCUCGUGAACUCAUCUUCGGGGGUAGAGCACUGUUUCGGCUAGGGGGUCAUCCCGACUUACCAACCCGAUGCAAACUACGAAUACCGAAGAAUGUUAUCACGGGAGACACACGGCGGGUGCUAACGUCCGUCGUGAAGAGGGAAACAACCCAGACCGCCAGCUAAGGUCCCAAAGUCAUGGUUAAGUGGGAAACGAUGUGGGAAGGCACAGACAGCCAGGAUGUUGGCUUAGAAGCAGCCAUCAUUUAAAGAAAGCGUAAUAGCUCACUGGUCGAGUCGGCCUGCGCGGAAGAUGUAACGGGGCUAAACCAUGCACCGAAGCUGCGGCAGCGACACUAUGUGUUGUUGGGUAGGGGAGCGUUCUGUAAGCCUGCGAAGGUGUGCUGUGAGGCAUGCUGGAGGUAUCAGAAGUGCGAAUGCUGACAUAAGUAACGAUAAAGCGGGUGAAAAGCCCGCUCGCCGGAAGACCAAGGGUUCCUGUCCAACGUUAAUCGGGGCAGGGUGAGUCGACCCCUAAGGCGAGGCCGAAAGGCGUAGUCGAUGGGAAACAGGUUAAUAUUCCUGUACUUGGUGUUACUGCGAAGGGGGGACGGAGAAGGCUAUGUUAGCCGGGCGACGGUUGUCCCGGUUUAAGCAUGUAGGCUGGUUAUCCAGGCAAAUCCGGAUAAUCAAGGCUGAGGUGUGAUGACGAGGCACUACGGUGCUGAAGUAACAAAUGCCCUGCUUCCAGGAAAAGCCUCUAAGCAUCAGGUAACAUCAAAUCGUACCCCAAACCGACACAGGUGGUCAGGUAGAGAAUACCAAGGCGCUUGAGAGAACUCGGGUGAAGGAACUAGGCAAAAUGGUGCCGUAACUUCGGGAGAAGGCACGCUGGUGUGUAGGUGAAGUCCCUGCGGAUGGAGCUGAGACCAGUCGAAGAUACCAGCUGGCUGCAACUGUUUAUUAAAAACACAGCACUGUGCAAACACGAAAGUGGACGUAUACGGUGUGACGCCUGCCCGGUGCCGGAAGGUUAAUUGAUGGGGUUAUCCGUAAGGAGAAGCUCUUGAUCGAAGCCCCGGUAAACGGCGGCCGUAACUAUAACGGUCCUAAGGUAGCGAAAUUCCUUGUCGGGUAAGUUCCGACCUGCACGAAUGGCGUAAUGAUGGCCAGGCUGUCUCCACCCGAGACUCAGUGAAAUUGAACUCGCUGUGAAGAUGCAGUGUACCCGCGGCAAGACGGAAAGACCCCGUGAACCUUUACUAUAGCUUGACACUGAACAUUGAGCCUUGAUGUGUAGGAUAGGUGGGAGGCUUUGAAGCGUGGACGCCAGUCUGCGUGGAGCCAACCUUGAAAUACCACCCUUUAAUGUUUGAUGUUCUAACGUUGGCCCCUGACCGGGGUUGCGGACAGUGUCUGGUGGGUAGUUUGACUGGGGCGGUCUCCUCCCAAAGCGUAACGGAGGAGCACGAAGGUUAGCUAAUCCUGGUCGGACAUCAGGAGGUUAGUGCAAUGGCAUAAGCUAGCUUGACUGCGAGCGUGACGGCGCGAGCAGGUGCGAAAGCAGGUCAUAGUGAUCCGGUGGUUCUGAAUGGAAGGGCCAUCGCUCAACGGAUAAAAGGUACUCCGGGGAUAACAGGCUGAUACCGCCCAAGAGUUCAUAUCGACGGCGGUGUUUGGCACCUCGAUGUCGGCUCAUCACAUCCUGGGGCUGAAGUAGGUCCCAAGGGUAUGGCUGUUCGCCAUUUAAAGUGGUACGCGAGCUGGGUUUAGAACGUCGUGAGACAGUUCGGUCCCUAUCUGCCGUGGGCGCUGGAGAAUUGAGGGGGGCUGCUCCUAGUACGAGAGGACCGGAGUGGACGCAUCACUGGUGUUCGGGUUGUCAUGCCAAUGGCACUGCCCGGUAGCUAAAUGCGGAAGAGAUAAGUGCUGAAAGCAUCUAAGCACGAAACUUGCCCCGAGAUGAGUUCUCCCUGAGACUNNNNNNNNNNNNNNNNNNNNNNNNNNGACGUUGAUAGGCCGGGUGUGUAAGCGCAGCGAUGCGUUGAGCUAACCGGUACUAAUGAACCGUGAGGCUUAACCUU